AGAGCACGUCUGAUGGACAGGCAAGCUCGGGGCAGUUACAGCAACUUACCUCCUAGUGUGAAGUCCUUCCCCUGGUUCCUCAUUGGCUGAGCACUACAGAGAUCUUCAAGUCAAGGAGAACCACUCUUGAUGAGGUACAUGCAGAGAUGACAUCCAGAUUCAGACCUGACAUGGAUGACAAGCCCCUCGGCCUCACAUUGAUGCCUUAAUGAGGUGGAUUUGGGGAAGGAGGUGACUGCAUUUUGUACAUGGUUGCUAGAAGUCAGACCAUGGUAUACAGUCUCCAAAGAUGGCCACUGUUAACUUCAUGCUACUGCUCCUCACAUGAAAAGAUGGGGCCUAAUUCUCUUCUCCUUGAAUCUGGGCCAGCAUAAUGACUUACUUGAUCAACAGAAUGCAGCAGAAAUGAUGCUCUUGGAUUUCUGAGAUAAAUCUUAAAAAGCCUCAUAGCCCCCUUUGGGGCCUCUUGGGCUGCUCACUUUGGGUACACUUCCUCUCAGAACCUAGAUGCCAUGUUCUGAGAAGCCCAAGCUACAUAGAGAGGUCACAGGUAGGCAUUCCAGCUGACUCCCAGCUAACAACUGGUGCCAAAUGCCAGGGUAAUUGAGUGAGCUACCUUGGAAACUGAAUUAAUUUGAACUUUCUGAUGACUCCAGCCCCAACAUCUGUCUUCAACUGCAUGAGAGGUCCCAAAUGAGAACCCCAUUGACUGAUUACAGUCUACUUAUAGAACCUUGAGAGAUAAUAAAUUUGUUUUAAUUUAACAA
This is a long non-coding RNA of Leopardus geoffroyi (Geoffroy's cat), 767 nucleotides long. RefSeq lists it as uncharacterized. Lineage: Eukaryota; Metazoa; Chordata; Mammalia; Carnivora; Felidae. The record is from RefSeq and is a predicted model, not a curated record. The transcript is spliced from 2 exons.